AUGAACGCUGGCGGCGUGCCUAAUACAUGCAAGUCGAGCGAACAGAUGAGGAGCUUGCUCCUCUGACGUUAGCGGCGGACGGGUGAGUAACACGUGGAUAACCUACCUAUAAGACUGGGAUAACUUCGGGAAACCGGAGCUAAUACCGGAUAAUAUAUUGAACCGCAUGGUUCAAUAGUGAAAGACGGUUUUGCUGUCACUUAUAGAUGGAUCCGCGCCGCAUUAGCUAGUUGGUAGGGUAACGGCUUACCAAGGCAACGAUGCGUAGCCGACCUGAGAGGGUGAUCGGCCACACGGGAACUGAGACACGGUCCAGACUCCUACGGGAGGCAGCAGUAGGGAAUCUUCCGCAAUGGGCGAAAGCCUGACGGAGCAACGCCGCGUGAGUGAUGAAGGUCUUCGGAUCGUAAAACUCUGUUAUUAGGGAAGAACAAAUGUGUAAGUAACUAUGCACGUCUUGACGGUACCUAAUCAGAAAGCCACGGCUAACUACGUG
RNAcentral lists this ribosomal RNA (496 nucleotides) under uncultured bacterium. RNAcentral describes it as "partial 16S ribosomal RNA". It matches the Rfam family "Bacterial small subunit ribosomal RNA", at positions 29 to 507 of the family's 1533-position model. The record is from RNAcentral.